Molecule: ribosomal RNA, 608 nt
Filed under: uncultured bacterium
Lineage: Bacteria
Description: bacterial SSU rRNA
Rfam family: Bacterial small subunit ribosomal RNA
Source: RNAcentral
CCUACGGGAGGCAGCAGUGGGGAAUCUUGCUCAAUGGGCGAAAGCCUGAAGCAGCAACGCCGCGUGCGGGAUGAAGGCCCUCGGGUUGUAAACCGCUUUCAGCAGGAACGAAUCUGACGGUACCUGCAGAAGAAGGUCCGGCCAACUACGUGCCAGCAGCCGCGGUAACACGUAGGGACCAAGCGUUGUCCGGAUUUAUUGGGCGUAAAGAGCUCGUAGGCGGUUCAGUCAGUCGGGUGUGAAAACUUCGGGCUUAACUCGAAGCAUGCAUCCGAUACUGCUGUGACUUGAGUCCGGUAGGGGAGUGGGGAAUUCCUGGUGUAGCGGUGAAAUGCGCAGAUAUCAGGAGGAACACCGGUGGCGAAGGCGCCACUCUGGGCCGGUACUGACGCUGAGGAGCGAAAGCGUGGGUAGCAAACAGGAUUAGAUACCCUGGUAGUCCACGCUGUAAACGUUGGGCACUAGGUGUGGGCUCUAACCAACGGAGUCCGUGCCGCAGCUAACGCAUUAAGUGCCCGCCUGGGGAGUACGGCCGCAAGGCUAAAACUCAAAGUGUAAUUGACGGUUCGUUGAGACGUUCGACGACGGACGACGACGGAGGGAGGAGG